This is a long non-coding RNA of Callithrix jacchus (white-tufted-ear marmoset), 4667 nucleotides long. The record is from Ensembl. Lineage: Eukaryota; Metazoa; Chordata; Mammalia; Primates; Cebidae.
GCUGGGAUAUUCAUCACCUCAAACAUGUAUCAUUUUUUUAUGUUGGGGACAUUUCAAAUACACUCUUAUUAUUUGGAAAUAUACAAUAAAUAAUCAUUAACUAUAGUCACCCUAUUGUGCUACUGAACACUAGAACUUAUUCCUCUAACUAACUAAAUGUUUGUACCCACCAACAAGCUAUUCUUAGCAUCCAUUGUAGUGGACUAUUUUCUUCUGCUUGUGGCAGAUGGACAAAGUAGCCUCAUCAGAACAAAACAAACAAAACAAGUGCUGUGUGUAAGAGAAAUGUGGGUGAAUGCCAGGAUGAGAAACAGUGUAAAAGGGAAGAGAGCAGAGAGCACCAUUUAAUUCACAGAAGCAUCUCUUUACAGAGCUGCAAAGAUCCCACAGUUUUGGUUAUUAAACCAAAUUGGCUACUGCCCAAUUUGUUGAUUUGGGGAUUAUAGCGAACUCUGAAACUCAGGUGCACCUACACCAACCCACCAACCAGAACUAUCUCACCUAAUACAGAGUUUUGCUAUUGUUGACCAGUCUGGAGUACAGUGGCACAACCUCGACUGACUGCAACCUCAGCCUUCUGGUUUCAAGCAAUUCUCCUGCUUCAGCCUCCCAAGUAGCUGGGAUUACAGGCACCCACUGACAUGCCAGAAAAUUAAAGCAACAGAAGAAUCUUCCGGUUUUCCAUCAUGACAAAUACCUGUCUCCAAGCAUCUGGAGCCACACACUCCUGCCCAUACUCGUGUCUAGAAGCCCAGGAGAGCUGGCUUGAGCAAUGGCUUUCUCUAUCAUUCGAAGGAUUCCAGAGCAGUUUCAUGCUGUUGAGUAUCAAAUCUAAGAUUUAUAAUUUUUGUUUGUUUUCUUGUUUUCUCAAUGGUAUGCUGGCAAAUGUUGAAUUAUGGGAUAUGAAAAAAUGUAUACGUAUAAGUAUGUAACUACAGUCAUUGGGAUUUUCACUUACACAAUAAUGUAUAGCACAGAAUUAAGAGAUAAUAAAAUAUACUUCAUAUAUAUAUAUAUGCUCUUCAGUGUAAAAUGUGAUGCUUUGAUAUACAUAUACAUUGGUAGCAAUUGCAACAAUAAUGCUAAUUAACAUUUGUCACCUCAUAUAGUUACCUUUUUUAAAAUAAUGAGAACUCUUAAGAUCUACUCUCAGAAAAUUUCAAGUAUACAAUACAUUAUGUAUAGUCACUAUCCUGUACAUUAUAUCUCUAGAACUUACUCAUCCUAUAACAGCAAGUUGUACCCCUUGACCUAAAUUAUCGUAUUUUCACCACCCUUCAGCCCUAGGAGAAAAUAUUUGCAACACAUAUAUCUGAGAGGGGACUAAUAUCUAAAAUAUAGUAAGAACUCCCCCAAUGCAAUAGCAAAAACACAAAUAACUAGAUUAGAAAGUAGGUAAAGGACCUAAAUAGGCACAGUUUUCUAAAGAAAAUAUACAAAUAAUCAAUAGGUAUAUGGAGGUUUCUCAAAAAACUACAAACAAACUACUGUAUAAUCGAACAAUAUCACUUCUGGGUACAUAAUCAAAUAAUUGAAAUCAGUAUUUCAAAGAGAUAUGUGCGCAUCUGCAGCAUCAUUUACCAUGGCCAAGAUACAGACAAAUUUACUCUUUAUUGUGAAUUCAAUAUAGCCAACUGAUACUUACAGAAUGCUUUCACUGAUUUUUUUUGCCAACCUCUCUAAACAUAGAAAAUAUAUAAUUGAAAAUUGAUUUACAAAUGUAUUUCUGAAAUGAAUAAUAGUUAACAUUUGGUUUACAUUAAUAUGUAAGAGAAAAACCAAUGAUAAUAUAUGUUGGAACUUGUUCUUCAAUGACUUGAGUCACUUAUUUGCUGAAUAAGAGAAUGAUUUAUGAAUAUUCAAAUAUUUCCUCAAUUUAUUGUGCCAUUUACAAUUUAAUGUCUAUACACAUGGCACAUUUUACAUGUAAUCUGCAUUAAGACUUCAUCACUUUCUUAAGCAUGUACAUUCAAAAAAUAAAAUAAACAAAAUCAUGAUUUGUAGCAUUUGCUAUUGACAUUAUAAAAUUCUCUUACUGUAACCAAUUUCAAGAUAGCAAUGUGAUAUCACUCAACAUGUAUUUGCACCUUACACAUAGAAUAGACUGGAUAUUUAAGGGAUCAUUAAAAAAAUCUUUAAGAAACAACUUGACUGUUUCAGAUACCUUUCUCAUACAAUCAGCAAGAUUCAAACUUUUACUUUAGUCUACUAAUAAAAAUUCUAAUUAGCUUAUUUCCCCUGCAUUUUUCAAUCUUUAACAUACCACUUACUGCGUUUUGCUAAAGGUGGUAAUCCUAUCCAGCUGGUCUCUGUGGUUUUUCUAGAAUGGCAUAAUAAGCAUGCUUUGAUAUUCAGGGUGUGUAGGUUGUUUAGAACCAUAAUUGUUUUAAUGGGCUGCUCUCUUCAAAAACACAGUUGGUUACUAAACACAGCAAACUAAAGAGUUAGGCUAAUAAAAAUUAGUGAAUUUAUAGACUGACAAUAAAUAGAACUUUGUUUAAUAUGAAUAGUCACUUGCAUUCAUUUUAAAUUCUGUGGUAUACUAAGUAACAUUUACUAUCCUACAUAUCAUCCUUCAGUAAUGCUUUGGAAUACUGUCUGACAAUAGUAAGCCGCCAGAAUAAUGCAACAAUAAAAUGCCCUUUUGUUUAAUGAUUCCACUUUGGCAGAGGUUUGUUUUUAUACAAAAUGACUCCUGUUUAAAGCAGUCAAUAAAGAAGGCAUUUCUACUUAUGACAGAAAUGAGCUGGCUCGUGCCCGGAUGGUCUUUGCCUUAUACUACAUGGAUUUCGAUAAUCAUCACUUUUGCAGAAAAUCCAACACUGGCUGAGCAUACAUAGGCAAAAUAAAGUACAUAUUAAAGCAAUUAUCUAGGAAUUUUUAGAAAAAUUAAUUUGUAAAUAAAAAAAUCACUUUUGGGAUGAAUUAUGAGGAGUCAAUUUUAUUUUAUUUUAUUUUAUUUUAUUUUAUUUUAUUUUAUUUUAUGGGUUUUCUUAAACUGGGUAUAUUCACUUGUCUCUAUGAAUACAAAUAAAAUGUAAACUUGGGAGCUUUUAGGGUGAGAUGGGAUAAGAAAGCAAAGUAUUUAAAAGUACAAAAAUCUGAGAUGGGGAAUUAAUAUUUUAAAAAUCCAAAGCUUGGCAUUUUCUUUGAUAGAGUUGUUCCUCUAUUCCUUCACAAAUCUUUAGCUUGGGUGUGUAAGAGGCAACUUGUCAGGUUUGGAGGAGAUUUAACGAUGAUCUAUAACUAAGUUUAAUGUGUUUGGAUUUAUUUAAGAUGAAUCUACUUUCCCAAGGAUACUUUUCCUAAAAUCUAAGUCCAGAUAUAUUUCAAGAGGAAAAUUCUUGUAUGUGUUUCUAUUUCUUCUAUAAACAUUCUAUUAAAAUUAAAAUAUUCCACUGCAAAGGCCAGUAGAUAGCCAAAAAGCAUAUAAACUCCUUUUCCAUAAAAAAAGUAUUGGGGGCCAAGUAUAAGCAAAUAUGAUUCCAGAAUAUUAUGACAGUUACAGGAAGAAAAGCUUCAUGCAAUCUGCUUACAUUUCUUCCUAUACAUUUGCCAUUGCUCUUUCCAGCUGUUUUUCAUAUUCUCUGUAUUAUUAUUUAAACAUCCCUACUCAAACUCUUUUUUUAAAAAGCAGCUGCGGAUUUUCAAUCUUUUCUAAAAUAAUCUGCAAUGUAUCUAACCUGGUUAGAAGCAGAAAGCUAUGGGAAAGAUAAAACUACAAUCACAUGGCCCUCACAACUUGUUGUAUAUUUAGGUUACAACUUCAGAAAGAGACUUAGAGACAACCAAAGUUUAAAAAUAUGGGCAUUUAUCAAAUGUCUGAAUUGAAAGCACUUGAGAAAUAUUUUUGCCAAUUAGUGCUAUGCCCAAAAGUUUACUUCAAUAAUUCAGGUAAGAUGUUUUCUGAAAAGACAUAUGCUUUCCCUUACUGAAUCUGAAUUUGUUUAUUUAGCAAUCUAAUAACAUUAAAGAAAUUUGACUCUUAUUCUCUUUACCAUUCUUCAAUCAGUACAGAUUUGAGGUUCUAAACCUUUCUGUUCACUACCACACUGUACAAUCCAAAUUCCAAUAUUUAAUCAGUUAUUUGUCAUGUAGUUUCUUUGAUGUAUAUUGUCGAAAUACUGGACAUAGAAGAAUUAUGGUUAUGAAGCUAUCUAGAAACACAGAAGUCAGGAUGAUAUCUCUGUGUCCUACAGAUCCUAGCCAUGAAAGGGAAGAAUGAAUUAAUGGAAUUUUCCAAGGCCAGUCAGCCUGAUUUAACCAGAAGCAGCACAGAUGAAUGAACUAGGUGGUGAUCUAUCGGUGAACUGCACUGACCAUUCAGUUUUUCCAUGGUCCAUUACGUUAGUUACAGACCUGUGUGUAUGAUGCAAAAUGAAAUGGACAGUUGAGGCAAUUAUCUGCACAAUUCUGGUGAAAAGAAAGCUUGUUACUAAGGAAAAAGUAAGUUGGUGGGGGUACCUUAAUUAUCCAUAUUGAAUUUCCAUAUUGAUCACAUACACAAGACAAUUGCUUGACUCAACACUUCAUUUUGCUUGAGCAGGCACGGGCUAAGAUAAUUGAAAGCAAUUAAACAGCAUUGUCUAGGGAACCAUAAGUGACAACUUAGGUCAGUAUUGUGGGGGCAGGGUAACUUCAUCAAUUAGUAUUUUUCGAACACCUAC